UACGUAGGCAGCGAGCGUUGUUCGGAAUUACUGGGCGUAAAGAGUGUGUAGGCGGUGCUCUAAGUUCGGUGUGAAAUCUCCUGGCUCAACUGGGAGGGUGCGCCGGAAACUGGAGUGCUUGAGCGUGGGAGAGGAAAGCGGAAUUCCUGGUGUAGCGGUGAAAUGCGUAGAUAUCAGGAGGAACACCGGUGGCGAAGGCGGGUCUCUGGGCCGUAACUGACGCUGAGGAGCGAAAGCGUGGGGAGCGAACAGG
Molecule: ribosomal RNA, 253 nt
Filed under: uncultured bacterium
Lineage: Bacteria
Description: partial 16S ribosomal RNA
Rfam family: Bacterial small subunit ribosomal RNA
Source: RNAcentral